GAUGAACGCUGGCGGCGUGCCUAAUACAUGCAAGUCGAGCGAACGGACGAGGAGCUUGCUCCUCUGACGUUAGCGGCGGACGGGUGAGUAACACGUGGAUAACCUACCUAUAAGACUGGGAUAACUUCGGGAAACCGGAGCUAAUACCGGAUAAUAUAUUGAACCGCAUGGUUCAAUAGUGAAAGACGGUUUUGCUGUCACUUAUAGAUGGAUCCGCGCCGCAUUAGCUAGUUGGUAAGGUAACGGCUUACCAAGGCAACGAUGCGUAGCCGACCUGAGAGGGUGAUCGGCCACACUGGAACUGAGACACGGUCCAGACUCCUACGGGAGGCAGCAGUAGGGAAUCUUCCGCAAUGGGCGAAAGCCUGACGGAGCAACGCCGCGUGAGUGAUGAAGGUCUUCGGAUCGUAAAACUCUGUUAUUAGGGAAGAACAAAUGUGUAAGUAACUAUGCACGUCUUGACGGUACCUAAUCAGAAGGCCACGGCUAACUACGUG
RNAcentral lists this ribosomal RNA (497 nucleotides) under uncultured bacterium. Its description in RNAcentral is "partial 16S ribosomal RNA". It matches the Rfam family "Bacterial small subunit ribosomal RNA", at positions 28 to 507 of the family's 1533-position model. The record is from RNAcentral.